This 1200-nucleotide ribosomal RNA is filed under the name Triticum aestivum (bread wheat). RNAcentral describes it as "partial small subunit ribosomal RNA". The record is from RNAcentral. Lineage: Eukaryota; Viridiplantae; Streptophyta; Magnoliopsida; Poales; Poaceae.
AUGUAUAUAUAUAGCCCAACCCUAAAUUUGAGGAGAGAUGUCCCAUCCUCCCAGCCGCCGCCGCCAUUCCACCAAAUACCCCUCGGGAUCCUUCCACAAACCAGCUUCUUUUCCCCAAUCCAAUCCAGCCAACCAGCGCCAGCCUCUGCUUCCCCUCGAUCCACCCAAGCCCAUCGAUCCUCUACCUCCUCGCUCUCCUUCGUCGACCAGGGAGACGAGCUCAUCCCGAGCGCCUCCGCCUUACCUCGUCGCCGGCCGGCUUCGUCGGAGACCACCCCUGCAAGGACCGACCUCUUCUGCUCCCCUUCCUCCUUCCCGUUUCCUUCUCCUCCUCUCUCUCAACUCCCUCUCCGUCUAUGUACCAGGUAUGAUCAGGAGAGCACCCGACUCCAUGGAUGGCCUCGAGUUCUUCCCCAACGCCAGCCUUCUCAACCACCUCGCGUCACCGCCUCCCGUUGCAGCUGCUUCCUCGAGCUCCCUCACAUGGCGUCCAUGGCGCCCGGGUUCCUCCUCAACCCUGCCAUCUUCAGCACCCGCGCCAUGGAUCUCCAUGUCCACCGGCUCGCCUCCGCUUCGAUCCGGCAGGGAAAGGGACCCCGGCGAUCUCCCGUGACCGGACCCGGCCACCCCGACGCCCUAUGCCCUCGGGCCCCAUCGGACCUCCUUCCUCUGUGCCAAGCAUCGCCGGCCGGCCAUCGAAGCCGCGGGCCAAGCUCCUCUGCUCGCUCGCCUGCAUCCGCCUCGUCCCUGCUCCAGAGAAGGACGAGCAGCGCCGUGCUGUUGACUGCAUCGCCAGAUCCGCCGCCCACGUCCUCGACUGGAUACGCCAUGCUCCCCGUCCUCCGCCCAAGUCCCUACCGAUGCACCGCCGUUGGCCAAGCCUCACCUCUGCUUCGCUUGAACAGGGAGGAGAACGCCUCUGCCUCUGUUCGCUCAGGCCGCCCUCGCGUUGACCGGGCACGAUGCCACAACGACCGCGCGUGGGCCUCAUCUUCCCUCGCCCCGGCCCAGAGCUUCCUCCAGCAAGUCCGGCCCAGCACCAAGGCGCAGUCCCAGCUCCCUUCGCCCUCGAGGCCCAGCUCCGCACGCGCCUGCAGGCCCAAUCUUGCAGGUGCCGAUGAGUCCGUGCAGAUGACGCAAGCAAACUCAAGGAGGAGCUCGAUGAAGAUCUUGUCCUUUGUGUUGUUCUGUUCUAGUUAA